GAUGAACGCUGGCGGCGUGCCUAAUACAUGCAAGUCGAGCGAACAGACGAGGAGCUUGCUCCUCUGACGUUAGCGGCGGACGGGUGAGUAACACGUGGAUAACCUACCUAUAAGACUGGGAUAACUUCGGGAAGCCGGAGCUAAUACCGGAUAAUAUAUUGAACCGCAUGGUUCAAUAGUGAAAGACGGUUUUGCUGUCACUUAUAGAUGGAUCCGCGCCGGAUUAGCUAGUUGGUAAGGUAACGGCUUACCAAGGCGACGAUGCGUAGCCGACCUGAGAGGGUGAUCAGCCACACUGGAACUGAGACACGGUCCAGACUCCUACGGGAGGCAGCAGUAGGGAAUCUUGCGCAAUGGGCGAAAGCCUGACGGAGCAACGCCGCGUGAGUGAUGAAGGUCUUCGGAUCGUAAAGCUCUGUUAUUAGGGAAGAACAAAUGUGUAAGUAACUAUGCACGUCUUGACGGUACCUAAUCAGAAAGCCACGGCUAACUACGUG
RNAcentral lists this ribosomal RNA (497 nucleotides) under uncultured bacterium. Its description in RNAcentral is "partial 16S ribosomal RNA". It matches the Rfam family "Bacterial small subunit ribosomal RNA", at positions 28 to 507 of the family's 1533-position model. The record is from RNAcentral.